AAAAAUAAAUAAAUAAAAAAAUCCAAAGGAAAACAGAAGGCGGUGGCGUGCCGGAGAAGCGGUGGCCGGUGGUGGGUUCGUCGGAAGUUUCACUUGUUUGGUUUUCUAACAAAUUGUAGAUUGGAGACUGAUAUAUAUUGGUAGUAGCAUGAGCUGUGGCAGAUGAUUAUUAGGUAAUGAUGAGCAUGAUAGUCUGGAAGUUGCUUUCAUGGACACGCCUGAAAAUAAGAAGCUAUCUGAGAUAGUUGACGUAGUAAAAUUAUGGAUGCCGAGAAAGACAGAGGCGCAGGUGAGUGUGUCCAGAGAUUUCUGGAUGCCCGACCAGAGCUGUAGG
RNAcentral lists this unclassified non-coding RNA (334 nucleotides) under Hevea brasiliensis (rubber tree). The record is from RNAcentral. Lineage: Eukaryota; Viridiplantae; Streptophyta; Magnoliopsida; Malpighiales; Euphorbiaceae.